This 253-nucleotide ribosomal RNA is filed under the name uncultured bacterium. RNAcentral describes it as "partial 16S ribosomal RNA". It matches the Rfam family "Bacterial small subunit ribosomal RNA", at positions 524 to 776 of the family's 1533-position model. The record is from RNAcentral.
UACAGAGGGGGCAAGCGUUGUUCGGAAUUACUGGGCGUAAAGGGCGCGUAGGCGGCCUUCUAAGUCGAACGUGGAAUCCCCGGGCUCAACCCGGGAACUGCGUCCGAUACUGGAAGGCUUGAAUCCGGGAGAGGGAUGCGGAAUUCCAGGUGUAGCGGUGAAAUGCGUAGAUAUCUGGAGGAACACCGGUGGCGAAGGCGGCAUCCUGGACCGGCAUUGACGCUGAGGCGCGAAAGCCAGGGGAGCAAACGGG